AAACCCUUGCUCAGAUCCCAUCCCCCCAUCGCACCUUUCCUCCCUCGUCCCCAUCUCCUCGCCACUGUCGCCACCUCCUCCCCGUCCCCGCCCCCUUCCAAUCCAGUCCUCUCCCCGCCGCUUACGCCCAUCGCCGACCUCGCCAUCCUCCUCACCCACCAUUCCCCGUUCCACAUACCUCCCCGUUCCCCGUUCCCCUCCAUUUUCUACCUCUCUCGUAGGAUCCAGAUCCAGGGGAGCUCCCUCCCUCUCCCGCGGGAUGCAGAUCUAGGAGUUCAUCCUGCACCCUGCAACCGUCAGUCCGGGUCGAGCUGACCCCGACCCGAUCAGAUCCCUCGUUGCCCGGCCUCCUCAGAUCUCCCCACACGCUCAAAUUCUCGACACAGAGGUUGGUGGCACUGCGGUGCUGCUGCUGGUGCCGCUCAAUUGAUUUGAUUGGUGGGAAAUCCGUCUCUUGUCGUGGUUGCUCGAUCGAUAUGUGAUAUUCUUCGUGUUGCGCAGGUCUUGCCGGUGGGGGUCCGCGUCAGGAAGCUUGUUGGCUGCUGCUGCUUCUUGCUUUGGGUGCGCUAUAGCGAACCCGGCCGACGGAGAUGGGAGUGUUAGGGGAGAAGUUCCAUCUGGGGACGGUGGGGGAGCUCAGCCUGUCCGUGGUCUCCUCGGUCUCCAUUGUCAUAUGCAACAAGGCUCUCAUGAGCGCCCUUGGCUUCAUCUUCGGUAUGAGAUCCAAUCUCGCGCUCUCCAGAUGUGCUCCACUCUGUGUCUUUGCUACUGGCGCUUCGCCUCCCUGGAUGCUUGGGAUUUUAGCAUGCUAUUAUUUGUAACUUGUAAGCACCAAGAUGCUUUGUUCUUUGCUAUUAGUAGAUACUCACUCUCAUUCAUUGCUCUUGUAGUACCUCACGUAAUUUAAUUGUAUACAUGCAACACUUAAUGGGAUUGUUGUGUAAUUCAUAAUAAGCAUGCAUCGACAGUAGGUGUGCUCAGUGCAUGCAUCAACAACUAUCUAUAUGUUUGGUUUGGAUUGAUUUGGUUUGAUUGUUGGACUUGUAAAAUCUGUGUUGACAGUCAUGAGCUAUUAUUGUUGGUAAUCUAAAUUAUUCUACAUAUAAAGUGUCCGGAUAAAUAUUCGUUGUAAAUAUUCUGCAUAUAUAAUGUUCAAUUGGAUCUAUAAGAUCUCAGUUUAUUGUACUAUUAAUGGUGAGAAUAUUCUUACAAAUUCUUACGAGAGUUUCAGACCUACAAGACACACAAACAUAAUGAAUUGAUGUUUUUAUAUGCCAUGGAAUUUUGAGCAGAUUCUUCAGCUGUCAGAUGAGGCGGAGAAACUCUUCUUGAAGCACUUAGCAGGCAACAACACGAGGUGCUGGUGACAUCCAUUAAUAUGAGUUAGGCUAAACGUGUGUUUUGUGAGAAUGCAACCUUUUGGGAAUUCUCGUCUUUUCUUUUGCGGUAAUAUAAUGAUAUUAAAUGUUUGCUAGUUGCUAUAUAUGGGCAAGACGAAUUGAAUUGAAUCAUGCUAUUUUAUUUCUCAUGUAUGCACACAAAUUAUUGUCACUCAUGAACAACAAGCAAACAUACUAGUUACUACAUAUGUGUUCCAUAUAUUGUUGUACGUAUUAUUUAUUUCAAACCUCUAUUACUAGUGCCUCCAGCAAAUGCUCUGCUUAGGAAAAAGGUUGCAAAACCUCUAGUCAUCCAGUGUGAUUGCAAUGAAUUUGUUUAUAUAUAUAAAUAUGAUGUUAGGUUUACUUCUAUUUUGCCAACUCCAAUCAUCCAAAAGUUAGUACAGUACUGAAACUGAACCUAUUUCCAAAAUAUUUGUUAUUUUUGUUAUCUUUAUAAGGCAAAGUUUUCGCCAAGUGGUUGAAUGACAUUAUUAUGUGAUUGGGGCUCACAUUGAUGAAAAUAAUAUAGGAAUUCUGCACCCGAGUAAUCAUUUAUUAGAACAACCAACUCCGUUUGUAGUUUGCUCCUCUCGACAAUAGGAUGAGGCUGGUAAUAUGCAUAUAAUCAUCCAUCUAUGGCGUGAAUCCGUUAGCUGGUUAUAUUUUCAACUACAUCUCCUACUUACUACUAACAUUGCAUCUAAUUGGCUUCGUGCGCCAUUCGCGCAACCGGGUCAUCUAGUAGGAAUGAAAAGCUGCAUUAUCUCCCUUAGCACUGAAUUAUGAGAAAACAUUGCACCUUGUAUUCUCUGCUUAUUUUGGUCCUCUCCUAUAGCCUGACGUCCAGUUUCCCUUGAACAAGAGUGAUAAGUAGUUACCACUCUUUUAGAUGUAAGAGUGAAUGUACAGGCAGAGCUGACUAUGUACUGGUAUUCUAUUAUUUCUAAAGUUCAGGCACAAGCAGAAUUGGUUUGUGGUAUGCUCGAUUCUGUUACAAGGUGAUAGUAGAAAGCACUCUUGUUUUGCAAUGUACUGUAUUAAUUGUUGAGAUUUUCCAGAAAAAAAUAAAGCAUCUGAUCAUAUAGUUGUUUAUCAUUGUCUGACAUGUAAAGAUUAAAUUUGUUUAUUAGUAUCUCACAUGUAAAGAUCAAAUUUGUUUUCGAGCACGACAAGAAGGAAAAUAUUUCCACUAUCCGCUAUAUAUCACCACUCUGUGUUGUAGCUCCUAGAAAGUCUUCAGUUAGAACUUAAAUGUAAUUGUACUCUAUUGCAAAUAUUUUAAACAAAUAAUAUUUUAUUGAUGCUCAUAUCUGUUAGACUACUCUAACUAGAGAUUGUUGAACAAGUAUGAUUCGUUGGAUAAGCAUAUAGUUUGCAUCGUAGCAACCAAAUCGUUGUAAAUGUAGCUGGAAAAAAUCAUUGUAAAUGUGAACAAAGAGGUGGACAUGCGCCCAUACGUGUUAAGUUAAGCAGUGUAUGUGUAUGUCAUCCAGAUUAUGUUAGAAUAAUGCAUCAACUUGAGAUAUUUCUAAUUUGGUUAUGCUAGAAUAACGCAUCAACUUGAGAUAUGCUUGGUUGUCAAAAUGAUAGUAAAAUGUAGGCUCUUACAUGGUUCUUAAAUUAAGUUUUCUAUUUUACUGCUAACAAAUAUUGCCUAUGUUGAGACUAUAAACAUGUGGAUGCUCCUCUCAUUUACAGGAGUUCUAGACGAAGAAAUUCGAAGAAAGCUCGAAGCCCGAGUUAGCGACUUGCUUUAUAUGUUAUUGAACUUGUAAUGCUAAAUUUGUUGAGAAUUUUUAUGACCUGGUGAACAUGUUAUGCAAGAUGUUAUUUGUUGUUUACUUGAAAUGCAUUCCUGGAUUGAUAUUGAUUAAAAAAGUGUGAAUAUAUAUAUAUGUUCUAUUGAUUUUUUGCUGAUUCUGUAUUUCUAUUCUAUAAAACAAGAUGCAUGGUCCGAAUGGAAAGAGGCCCAAAUCUAUUUGUGCUUUAAAAAGAGGCCCAAAAUAUAUUGGCAUGAAUUAAGGCUGAAAAUUAAAUAUAAAUGUGUAAAAAACAUCGAGGACC
Molecule: long non-coding RNA, 3446 nt
Filed under: Hordeum vulgare
Lineage: Eukaryota; Viridiplantae; Streptophyta; Magnoliopsida; Poales; Poaceae
Description: long non-coding RNA (HVUL_LNC004777)
Source: RNAcentral